GAUGAACGCUGGCGGCGUGCCUAAUACAUGCAAGUCGAGCGAACAGACGAGGAGCUUGCUCCUCUGACGUUAGCGGCGGACGGGUGAGUAACACGUGGAUAACCUACCUAUAAGACUGGGAUAACUUCGGGAAACCGGAGCUAAUACCGGAUAAUAUAUUGAACCGCAUGGUUCAAUAGUGAAAGACGGUUUUGCUGUCACUUAUAGAUGGAUCCGCGCCGCAUUAGCUAGUUGGUAAGGUAACGGCUUACCAAGGCGAAGAUGCGUAGCCGACCUGAGAGGGUGAUCGGCCACACUGGAACAGAGACACGGUCCAGACUCCUACGGGAGGCAGCAGUAGAGAAUCUUCCGCAAUGGGCGAAAGCCUGACGGAGCAACGCCGCGAGUGAUGAAGGUCUUCGGAUCGUAAAACUCUGUUAUUAGGGAAGAACAAAUGUGUAAGUAACUAUGCACGUCUUGACGGUACCUAAUCAGAAAGCCACGGCUAACUACGUG
This 495-nucleotide ribosomal RNA is filed under the name uncultured bacterium. RNAcentral describes it as "partial 16S ribosomal RNA". It matches the Rfam family "Bacterial small subunit ribosomal RNA", at positions 28 to 507 of the family's 1533-position model. The record is from RNAcentral.